UACGACGGGGGCUAGCGUUGCUCGGAAUCACUGGGCGUAAAGCGCACGCAGGCGGAUUGAUAAGUCGGGGGUGAAAUCCCGGGGCUCAACCUCGGAACUGCCUUCGAUACUGUCUAUCUUGAGUCCGGGAGAGGUGAGUGGAAUUCCUAGUGUAGAGGUGAAAUUCGUAGAUAUUAGGAAGAACACCAGUGGCGAAGGCGGCUCACUGGCCCGGUACUGACGAUCAGGUGCGAAAGCGUGGGGAGCAAACAGG
Molecule: ribosomal RNA, 253 nt
Filed under: uncultured bacterium
Lineage: Bacteria
Description: partial 16S ribosomal RNA
Rfam family: Bacterial small subunit ribosomal RNA
Source: RNAcentral